GGACCCUUAGUUCAGUUGGUAGAAUAUGUGAUUCCAGCUUGCUCCAAUGGCAGUUAGUUUCCACAAGGUCAUCCGUUCAAAUCGGGUAGGGUUCA
This is a non-coding RNA of Astrocystis sublimbata, 95 nucleotides long. The record is from the annotation of a GenBank genome assembly. Lineage: Eukaryota; Fungi; Ascomycota; Sordariomycetes; Xylariales; Xylariaceae.